UCCGGAAGCAGCAAGCGUGCCUGGGCAGAGACCCCCAGAGUGUAAAGAGGUCCUGGGACAGGCUUUGCACGUUCCACAAGAGCAGUUCUGUCUGCACAAUCCCCGGCCACAGAGACACACAGCUGACCCCAUGGCGCCGCAGCUCGUGGGCACAGUCAGCAGCCAGCUUGUCACACUGUGGAGAGGCGGAAGGCAGGGUAAGAGCCACCUAGCCAUGUCACUUUCCUGCCCUGCCCUCUCUGCUUCUACUGUGAAUGCUCCACCCACCCUGUCCUUCCCAGGAGCCCCAAGGUCUCAGCUGCCCACGCUCCCCAGUGUGAUGCCUACUCUAGCCAACCAAGAGGAGCACAAGCAAAGGAACUGUCCAUGGAUGAGGCAGAGGAGGAGCUGAGAGGAGCCAGCCUUACCAUUCUGACCACUGGGGAUUGUACCUCCUGAGCUAUAGUGUCUCGCUGUGUCGUCUAGACUGGAGUGCAGUGGUGUGAUCAUGGCUCAACUCCUAGGCUCAAGCGAUCCUCCUGCCUCAGCCUCCGGAGUAGCUGCUGGGACUGCAGGAACGUGCCACCAUGCCUGGCUCAAACACAAAGUUUUUUCAUAAAACUCACUUGGCGGCAAAAUUCUACCUUACCUGAAGUUAUUUACGGGGUUUUUAAUUUCCACUUUGAAUAAAUAUUCACAUCUUGUUG
RNAcentral lists this long non-coding RNA (686 nucleotides) under Homo sapiens (human). Its description in RNAcentral is "HSALNT0375802". The record is from RNAcentral. Lineage: Eukaryota; Metazoa; Chordata; Mammalia; Primates; Hominidae.